RNAcentral lists this transfer RNA (73 nucleotides) under Gaiella occulta. RNAcentral's name for it is "Rubrobacteridae bacterium F2-223 tRNA". It matches the Rfam family "tRNA". Rfam says of the family: Transfer RNA (tRNA) molecules are approximately 80 nucleotides in length. Their secondary structure includes four short double-helical elements and three loops (D, anti-codon, and T loops). Lineage: Bacteria; Bacillati; Actinomycetota; Thermoleophilia; Gaiellales; Gaiellaceae. The record is from Rfam by way of RNAcentral.
UGCGCCGUAGAGCAGCUGGUAGCUCGCCGGGCCCAUAACCCGGAGGACGCAGGUUCGAAUCCUGCCGGCGCCA